RNAcentral lists this ribosomal RNA (587 nucleotides) under Bacillus sp. (in: firmicutes). Its description in RNAcentral is "bacterial SSU rRNA". It matches the Rfam family "Bacterial small subunit ribosomal RNA", at positions 57 to 627 of the family's 1533-position model. Lineage: Bacteria; Bacillati; Bacillota; Bacilli; Caryophanales; Bacillaceae. The record is from RNAcentral.
GCAGUCGAGCGGACGGAUGGGAGCUUGCUCCCUGAAGUCAGCGGCGGACGGGUGAGUAACACGUGGGCAACCUGCCUGUAAGACUGGGAUAACUUCGGGAAACCGGAGCUAAUACCGGAUAAUGCACAGCCUCUCAUGAGGUUAUGCUGAAAGAUGGUUUCGGCUAUCACUUACAGAUGGGCCCGCGGCGCAUUAGCUAGUUGGUGAGGUAACGGCUCACCAAGGCAACGAUGCGUAGCCGACCUGAGAGGGUGAUCGGCCACACUGGGACUGAGACACGGCCCAGACUCCUACGGGAGGCAGCAGUAGGGAAUCUUCCGCAAUGGACGAAAGUCUGACGGAGCAACGCCGCGUGAGUGAUGAAGGUUUUCGGAUCGUAAAACUCUGUUGUCAGGGAAGAACAAGUGCCGGAGUAACUGCCGGCACCUUGACGGUACCUGACCAGAAAGCCACGGCUAACUACGUGCCAGCAGCCGCGGUAAUACGUAGGUGGCAAGCGUUGUCCGGAAUUAUUGGGCGUAAAGCGCGCGCAGGCNNUCUCUUAAGUCUGAUGUGAAAGCCCACGGCUCAACCGUGGAGGGGUCAUU